UAUAUUUAUUUGUGGUUGUCUGACCUACCGAGGCACAUGGUUUGGUUGCGGGUGUAUUUUGGAGUAUCUUAAGUUGAACGAGUUGAUCGGAGUUCAAAUUUUCUAUAGAUGAUUCCAGAAUGAAGUUUUGAUGGUUAUGAUAUCUUCGUAUUGUGAUUUUGGACUUAGGCAUAUGUUCGAAUAUUAAUUUAGAGUUUUGUAGGUUGUUUAUACUUGAUUUGGCGAAAUUUGAAAGCUUGGAAGUUUUAUGACCCAACUUAGGAUCGUGGCCGACGAUUAGUAGCAAGUUCUCCCAAGUAAGCCUCAUCAAUAAUUUUACAGAAAAUCUGACAAACUUUCCCCGAUUUUUGGACCAUCCAAUAACUUUUCUGUCUCAAAUCAGCAACCAAAUGACCUAAUAACAAUUCAACUGGCAAUUGACAACUUACCAAUUAGCCAAAAUAAGUCUCCACCAUUACGAAUAAACACACUAACAACCAGAAAUGUUAAUCUGCUGCCAAUUUUCAUAAUAAAGGACGAUACUCAACACAAGACUAUAAUAACAAAAGAAUACUCAUGACACUAAAAUAAUGACUAUGGGGCGACUCUAAUAAUUCAAUGAAAAGACCAUAACAAUAAGUAAAAUCUCUGUCCACGCGAACAAGUGCGAGGCUCACCGAGAAAUAUAGACUUGUGCGCUCUAACUAACGAAAUCCUCGCAUGCGUUAACUGCUGCCUAUGUAAAAAAAAGUUAGCUGGAAUGAGUCGCUAGAUCACUGAGUAAUAACACUUAACCAUAACUGUUUUUAAUUAUGGAUAAGUCAGAAAACAUACUAGUAUCUCAAAUAGAAAAUAACAUAAAAAUGCUCUUUCAGAAAUAAUAAAAAUUUUCAGCCUCAUCAUGCUUUUCUUGUAGUAUAAUACAAUUAAUAAUCCAGGAAUAAGCUUGGUAACCACCGUAUAAUGUUAAUAUUCAAAUUUUGAGAGGUUUCAAUGAACGGAGCAUGUAAUCGGUGUAAAUGUGGACUUCUUCGCUAGAAGUCAUAUAUAACGGUAGUCCCCACUCGAGGAAAAUCUGUAACGGUAUGCUAGUUCUACCUUCCCACUAACGAGUGCUAUAACAGUAAUCGAUAAUUACAAGAUGCACCAGGUCUAACAAACCCACCGUUAGCUACGGGAUCAUUCAAUGUCUACUCAUAUUUAUACUUGUCUCUGUAAUCCGUAUAUACUCAUAGAAAUUAUUUUAAAACAAUAUGGGACAUUUCGGUUUUGAUCAAAUAAUUUCAAUUAUGUAACAGUAAUUCUAAGUAACGGUAAAAUAGAUCUAGUGACAGUAAAAAUAUUUAAAACCACGUAUUCAUCUCAAAUAACUAUUUCAGUAUCAUAUCGAGUAAAAGACUUGUCCUACAUAUAACUCAAAAUAAUCAGUAACAUAUUUGUAUUAAAAAUCAUGUGUAAAUCAUGCAAGUUAUAAAAAUAAAAAUUGCGGUAAGGUUACUACUCACAGUACUCGUGCCGAAAUACCAAAUGCUUCACCUCGAGCAAUUCGUACGAAUUCCUCCAAUAUACCAAUAAUUACAUAAUAUCAAUCUCAUGUCAAUUUCCUUAUUUAGUCUAAUUCAUAGCUAUUUGAAAAAACCCAAUCAUCGGGAUUCAUGUUUGAAUCUUAAUUUGUGAAUUUAUAUUUUACCCCAUAUGAGUAAUUACUAAUUUAUCAACUCCAACCUAUUCAUAAAUUUUAUUACUCCAUAUUCAUAAAGUUCUAGUGAUUAUUUUUAGGAAGAAAAUUCUCAAUUGUGUAAAUAAACUAGUGUAAUUUCUAUUACUCUAUAGAAUCUUUCAAUCAAGAGAAUCUUACAUUAAAAUCUAUAAGAAGAAGAAUUUCAAAUAAUACCCGUAAAAGACAAUUAGUGCUUAAGGUUCUUCAACGGUUAUAGCUAUGGCUCCAAAGCAGUGCAUCCACUUCAUCCUCCUUCUUUUCUCUUUUCCUUUCUUUCUUUCUCUGCUUUUGGUUUCUUUCGUUUUCUGUUUCUUGUAUCUUUCAGAAGACAAAGAAUCUUUGAUUUUUGAAAAACCCAUAACCUUGGCAAGUAAAAUAAAUCUAAUAGGAUUCGGCCCUUCUUG
Molecule: long non-coding RNA, 2103 nt
Filed under: Nicotiana benthamiana
Lineage: Eukaryota; Viridiplantae; Streptophyta; Magnoliopsida; Solanales; Solanaceae
Description: long non-coding RNA (NBEN_LNC040473)
Source: RNAcentral